RNAcentral lists this ribosomal RNA (394 nucleotides) under uncultured bacterium. RNAcentral's name for it is "partial 16S ribosomal RNA". It matches the Rfam family "Bacterial small subunit ribosomal RNA", at positions 523 to 918 of the family's 1533-position model. The record is from RNAcentral.
AUACGGAGGAUGCAAGCGUUAUCCGGAUUUAUUGGGCUUAAAGGGUGCGUAGGCGGAUGAUUAAGCGUGAGGUGAAAUGCCACUGCUCAACAGUGGAACUGCCUCGCGAACUGGUUGUCUUGAAUGCUCCUGCCGUGGGUGGAAUGUGGGGUGUAGCGGUGAAAUGCAUAGAGAUCACACAGAACACCGAUUGCGAAGGCAUCUCACGAAGGGGUGAUUGACGCUGAGGCACGAAAGCGUGGGGAUCAAACAGGAUUAGAUACCCUGGUAGUCCACGCAGUAAACGAUGAUAACUAACCGCUGGGUCGUAGUGAUUCAGUGGCCAAGCGAAAGCGAUAAGUUAUCCACCUGGGGAGUACGACCGCAAGGUUGAAACUCAAAUGAAUUGACGGGG